Molecule: RNA transcript, 1321 nt
Organism: Vitis riparia (riverbank grape)
Lineage: Eukaryota; Viridiplantae; Streptophyta; Magnoliopsida; Vitales; Vitaceae
Gene name: zinc finger A20 and AN1 domain-containing stress-associated protein 8-like
Exons: 4
Source: RefSeq, a predicted model, not a curated record
CCUUUCUCUCCUCCAGCUCCACCAUAAAUACGCACCUCCACCGCUUGGCUCCGACGACUCCGAUUCUCUGAGACGGUCUCUCUCCUGUUCGCUUAGGGGGACAAGGAUUGUCUGGUGUGAUUGUUUUGGUUGUUGAGUUUCGGAGCGAUCGAUCACAGGAGCUGAUUCGACGAAGACGUCCCCCUUGCGAGCAGGAAAGGAGAGUAUGGACCAUAACGAGACAGGGUGCCAAGCUCCUCCUGAAGCCCCCAUACUUUGCAUCAACAACUGUGGAUUCUUCGGGAGUGCAGCCACCAUGAACAUGUGUUCCAAGUGCCACAAGGAUUUGGUAUUGAAGCAGGAACAGGCUAAACUUGCUGCAUCAUCGUUUGAGAGCAUCGUGGAGGGCAGCUCCAACAGCAAUGCAAAAGAGUCCAUGGUCGCCAUUGCCAAAGCUGAUAUAAUACAGACUGGUCCAUCAGAGUCAAUGCCCGUCCCAACACAGGCAGCUUGUGCUUCACCAAGCGAGACCAAUGACAGAGUGAAAGAGGGUCCAAACAGGUGCAGUUCUUGCAGGAAGCGAGUCGGUUUAACAGGCUUCAAUUGUCGCUGUGGAAACCUCUUCUGUGCAGUGCAUCGCUACUCUGACAAACAUGCCUGCCCAUUCGACUACAGGACCGCUGCUCGAGAUGCCAUAGCCAAAUCCAACCCUGUCAUCAAGCCUGAAAAGCUUGACAAAAUCUAAGAAGCCAUGUUUGAACAGUCUACCCCACGAGUCUUCCCUUGUUUACUCAUGACAUAAAUGGUCGCUCGGCUUUCCCGGUCUGAAAGAACAUUAUAGAUCAGUCAUCCAUGGUGUGUUUUGCUGCUGGUCUGAUGAACAGGCUUCUCAUGUUUUAGCAUGAGGCUUGGUAUAUGCAGAGGUGGUGUUGGGGAAGGAGGCAUGGAGAAAACAUAUUGGGGGCCAAGAGGGGGCCUUGAGCAUACAAGAAGGGUGAUGGGCCUGAUGGGAGUAUGGCUGGCACGAGGCUUGGGGCAACCUUGUCAAGUAUGUGUGGCUGGAAAAUAAAAAAGGGGUAUAUGAUGUCUCUAUGUUGAUUGGAGUCCUACGUUUUCUGACUAGACACAUUGGAUUUGUGAUAUCAACGGUUUGGGAGGUUGGAACCCCCAAAAGUCUUUGAUUAUGUCAUACUUUUUAGCAUUAGCUAUUACAGAUUAGUUUGAAUUAGAUAAUCCUUAGCCAUCACAAUGAGAUGGGUUUGUCACGCUGUACUCUCAAAAUGUCAAAUUUGACAUGUAUAUAGAAAUAGAUUUUUGGUGGGUUUUAGUUUUCUUUUGACAA